GCGCCCGUAGCUCAGCUGGAUAGAGCGCCGGACUUCGAAUCCGUAGGUCGCAGGUUCGAAUCCUGCCGGGCGUACCA
This 77-nucleotide transfer RNA is filed under the name Pseudomonadota bacterium. Its description in RNAcentral is "Proteobacteria bacterium tRNA-Arg". It matches the Rfam family "tRNA". From Rfam's summary of the family: Transfer RNA (tRNA) molecules are approximately 80 nucleotides in length. Their secondary structure includes four short double-helical elements and three loops (D, anti-codon, and T loops). RNAcentral also lists the same sequence under 12 other names. Lineage: Bacteria; Pseudomonadati; Pseudomonadota. The record is from RNAcentral.